AGCGGCAGGCUUAAUACAUGCAAGUCGAGGGGCAGCAGGUUUGUAGCAAUACAGAUGCUGGCGACCGGCAAACGGGUGCGGAACACGUACACAACCUUCCUUUAAGUGGGGAAUAGCCCAGAGAAAUUUGGAUUAAUACCCCGUAACAUUAUGAUGUGGCAUCACAUUAUAAUUAUAGCUCCGGCGCUUAAUGAUGGGUGUGCGGCUGAUUAGAUAGUUGGCGGGGUAACGGCCCACCAAGUCUGCGAUCAGUAACUGGUGUGAGAGCACGACCAGUCACACGGGCACUGAGACACGGGCCCGACUCCUACGGGAGGCAGCAGUAAGGAAUAUUGGGCAAUGGAGGCAACUCUGACCCAGCCAUGCCGCGUGGAGGAUGAAGGUCCUCUGGAUUGUAAACUUCUUUUAUAUGGGACGAAAAAGGGCCUUUUCAGGUCAACUGACGGUACCAUAUGAAUAAGCACCGGCUAACUCCGUGCCAGCAGCCGCGGUAAUACGGAGGGUGCAAGCGUUAUCCGGAUUCACUGGGUUUAAAGGGUGCGUAGGUGGGUUGGUAAGUCAGUGGUGAAAUCCCCGAGCUUAACUUGGGAACUGCCAUUGAUACUAUCAGCCUUGAAUAUUGUGGAGGUCAGCGGA
This 636-nucleotide ribosomal RNA is filed under the name uncultured bacterium. Its description in RNAcentral is "bacterial SSU rRNA". It matches the Rfam family "Bacterial small subunit ribosomal RNA", at positions 38 to 665 of the family's 1533-position model. The record is from RNAcentral.